UAAUCGAAAUUAAAAGAUUAUUGUUAGGGAAGUUCAAAAAGGAGACGGGGAUACUCUAUCAACUAAACAACAAGAUAAUCUACAAGUUGAAUGAGGUCAUGAUGCAAUGAUUCAUGAUCAACGUGAUGAUUCUCACAAACCUACAGAAAAUAAGGAAUUUGUUAGUAAAUAGUUUUAGCCUUGUCCUUUGAUGCUCUUGUAAUCCUGAUAGAAUUAAUACCCACAACUAUAAGCAAAUAGUUUGUCGAAAGAUCCGUAUGUUUUCCUUCCUUAGGACUGAACAUAGAUACUUUAAUUACGUUGCCAGUUAUCUUUUUUUGGGUCUUAUCAUUUAUAUGGCCUUAUUCUCAAAUAAGGCAAGAGUUAUGAUUUUAUGUUAUAAAUUUUACAUCACUCUACUGUAAGGUGGUGUAUGUUUAUAGGGAAUCUAUAUUUUUUGGGGUAUCUUUUUUAUAUCAUUUACUGUUAUAUUAAAGAAUAAAUUCAAGUCCAUCAAAAUCUACUACUGCAUAUAUCUAACUUCAAAAAAGAAUCUUGAAGUUUCAACUUUUCAAUAAUCUGCUAAAUCAAUAUUGACUACGAUGGUUUCAACUCUUCCCAUGGGACACAAUUUAAUUCUUUUGGGGGAUAAAUUUUUCCUCUAAAGCAAGAGUUAUAGAUCAUCUAUCAAAUCAUUACAAACUAAGGUAGUGUCAACUCUAACCCAUGGGACAUAACUUGUUCCUUUGGAGGCUAAGUCUUGCCUCUAGAAAAAAGAGUUAUAAAGAAUGUGUGUCAUAACCUAUUUUUACUUAAAGUUAAAACAAGUAUAACAUUAUGGACUCAAAAAGAAUAAUUUUUAUACAGAGUCGCCACCUUAUUUUUAAGAAAAAAUAGGAAACCUACUUAUUUAUUAACAAGUAUAAUUUUUAUUUCAAUCUGCGAACCAAUUUAAAUUCUAGGUAAGGGUUUAAAUUAUUCCGAAAGAAAGGAAUUAGGCACCCUUCAGAAUCCACAAUGUGGUUUUCAGCCAGACUUAGGUUUAUUAAAAGAAAAAAGAGAAAAAAAAAAUCAAUGACUAUAAAGACAAAUAUAAAAUAGGUAUUGAAAUAAUAUAAUGCGUAUGCUUUCGUAAAAAAUACAUAUAAAUAAAAGUAUACAAAUAUAUGUAUGUAAAGACAAGAUUGAAUAAAAAAGAAUUGUUUUAAGGAAAAGACUACGUAAUAUUUAUUAAUAUAAAAGAAAGUGUGGAUUAUUUAAUUAAAUAUCUAAAUAGAUUUUAAUAUAAAUAUUAACGGUCUAAAUUUGCCUAGCGCGUGAUGAGAAUCACGUAAAAUAAAAAAUAUCCUGCCCAACACCCCAAAAGUUAAGUUUUCACUAUGAUUAAUAUUUGUACAAGUAUAAAAAAUAUAAAAAUACAACAUAAUUUAAAGUCUUCUUUAAAUGUCUUUCCCGACGAAUAUUCCAAAAACCUAUAUAAGCACUCAUAACAAAAAUGUCAGUAACAAAUAAAUAAUUAUCAAAAUAAAUUUAAAAGGAUAAAUAAUUAUCAAAAUAAAUUUAAAAGAUAUGUGUGCAUAUAGGUAUUUAAAAAUAUAAUUUUUGCUAAAAGUGGGUUCGGAUUAAAUUUUAAAUGCGUCAUGACUACGAAGUGGUUGCUCAAUUUAUUGACCCUCCUAAAUCAUCUUGACAAGAUAUGAGUCAUAAAACUUUUUACGUUGUUAUAAAAAUUUCAUCAUCGCCCGAAUUUAUUCAUUUUAUUACGUACUGAUAUAUGCAAUAUCCGUCUUUUAUUUGUGAAGGCCUCGAAAAUCGACGGAGAAUUUCUUCAUCGGUCAAAUAAUAAUGUCCAUUCAAAUUAAUAAAUCACUCCAACCAAUAAUAGAACAAAUAAUAUCAAAGACCAGUCCAGAAAUGAUCCCAAAUAGUGACAAAAUCUACCAAGUAGUAGCUAAGCAAAAUCAUCUCCUUCGAGUGAAAAUUUACCCCAGAACUAGAAAACUAGUCAUAGCAUUAGCAGUGAUUCAAAACCAACAAUAGAGACAACUAUAAGUAAUUAGAUUAUUGAAAAUGGGGUUUGAAACACGUAGACAAAUGACCAAAAAAUGGAGCUUGAUAGAAAAAUUAUCAUUCUUAUCCGAAAAAUUCAAAAAUUAGCCAAAUCUAUACUAAACAAUGGAACAAAGAAUAAUAGUGCAAGCAAUCAAUGACAUACAAUGUGACAGUCUUGUCCAUCAACUAUUUUCUCCAGCGUGAUACAGUAAACGAAAAAGGAGGAGGGGUAUUUCUUCCAAGGCUUUCAUCGGAGCAACACUAAAUAUAUAUACUCCAGCCAGAUCUGGCUUGUAAAUGGUGUAAGCCAUCAUUUCGAAUAUAUAAUAGCGAACCACAAGCAAAAGGUAAGAGUAAAGAUGCGGUGAUGAAGCUUCACCAUCGCUCACUGUCCGUUCGGUGGUCAAGUCCAGUGGCGAAAGUGGGACGGAGAAAGUGGGAAGGUGGUGCGAGUUGGAGAGAGGAGAGAGGCGGAAGGGCGUUUAGAGGUGGGUGAUGGUUUGGUGUUUGUCGAAGCUCCGGUGACGGCAACGACAGUGAGGGUCUGAGAGAGAAAAAAGAGCAUGAGAGAGAGAUCUGAUCUGGUUUAUGUGUGCACAUGCGUUGGUGUGUGUAUGUGUUCAUUACACAAUAAAAGGUCCAUUAUUGACCCAAAAAAUAAAAUCAACUAUUUUAACCAUUAAAUAAUAAUAUAUUGAUCAAAGAGUAAAAACUUCAACCG
RNAcentral lists this long non-coding RNA (2752 nucleotides) under Capsicum annuum. RNAcentral's name for it is "long non-coding RNA (CANN_LNC014730)". The record is from RNAcentral. Lineage: Eukaryota; Viridiplantae; Streptophyta; Magnoliopsida; Solanales; Solanaceae.